RNAcentral lists this ribosomal RNA (402 nucleotides) under Triticum aestivum (bread wheat). Its description in RNAcentral is "partial small subunit ribosomal RNA". The record is from RNAcentral. Lineage: Eukaryota; Viridiplantae; Streptophyta; Magnoliopsida; Poales; Poaceae.
AUGACAGCAGUUAAACAAGAAGAAGCAGACACAACCAGUGAUAUCAGCGGUAGCCAAAUUACCCAUGUAUUCAUACGCAAAGCAGGUUCAAUCCAAAAGUUCAAAGGCAAGAAAAUCCAACUAAAGCCUGGAAAGUACAUUCUCCGUGACUGCGAAAGAUCAUCCGCAGCACCACCAGAGACAUUUGCAACAAACGACAAAAGAAUGACGGGACUACCGCUGUCACAACUACUUUAUCAAGGGUGUUUGACAAAAGAGUCACCAUUGGCUGGAGAACUUCUUCCCUCAGGCACACAUGAGCAAAGGGCAAGCAUAUGCUUUCACCUUCAAAUGCACUUCCAAGGGACUGCGCCUGAUCGUCUACUCAAUAUAAGCAAGUUGCAAGAGCCGCUUGUUAUAUAA